AGAGUUUGAUCAUGGCUCAGAUUGAACGCUGGCGGCAGGCCUAACACAUGCAAGUCGAGCGGUAGCACAGAGAGCUUGCUCUCGGGUGACGAGCGGCGGACGGGUGAGUAAUGUCUGGGAAACUGCCUGAUGGAGGGGGAUAACUACUGGAAACGGUAGCUAAUACCGCAUAAUGUCGCAAGACCAAAGUGGGGGACCUUCGGGCCUCAUGCCAUCAGAUGUGCCCAGAUGGGAUUAGCUAGUAGGUGGGGUAACGGCUCACCUAGGCGACGAUCCCUAGCUGGUCUGAGAGGAUGACCAGCCACACUGGAACUGAGACACGGUCCAGACUCCUACGGGAGGCAGCAGUGGGGAAUAUUGCACAAUGGGCGCAAGCCUGAUGCAGCCAUGCCGCGUGUGUGAAGAAGGCCUUCGGGUUGUAAAGCACUUUCAGCGGGGAGGAAGGCGUUAAGGUUAAUAACCUUGGCGAUUGACGUUACCCGCAGAAGAAGCACCGGCUAACUCCGUGCCAGCAGCCGCGGUAAUACGGAGGGUGCAAGCGUUAAUCGGAAUUACUGGGCGUAAAGCGCACGCAGGCGGUCUGUCAAGUCGGAUGUGAAAUCCCCGGGCUCAACCUGGGAACUGCAUUCGAAACUGGCAGGCUAGAGUCUUGUAGAGGGGGGUAGAAUUCCAGGUGUAGCGGUGAAAUGCGUAGAGAUCUGGAGGAAUACCGGUGGCGAAGGCGGCCCCCUGGACAAAGACUGACGCUCAGGUGCGAAAGCGUGGGGAGCAAACAGGAUUAGAUACCCUGGUAGUCCACGCCGUAAACGAUGUCGAUUUGGAGGUUGUGCCCUUGAGGCGUGGCUUCCGGAGCUAACGCGUUAAAUCGACCGCCUGGGGAGUACGGCCGCAAGGUUAAAACUCAAAUGAAUUGACGGGGGCCCGCACAAGCGGUGGAGCAUGUGGUUUAAUUCGAUGCAACGCGAAGAACCUUACCUGGUCUUGACAUCCACAGAACUUAGCAGAGAUGCUUUGGUGCCUUCGGGAACUGUGAGACAGGUGCUGCAUGGCUGUCGUCAGCUCGUGUUGUGAAAUGUUGGGUUAAGUCCCGCAACGAGCGCAACCCUUAUCCUUUGUUGCCAGCGGUCCGGCCGGGAACUCAAAGGAGACUGCCAGUGAUAAACUGGAGGAAGGUGGGGAUGACGUCAAGUCAUCAUGGCCCUUACGACCAGGGCUACACACGUGCUACAAUGGCAUAUACAAAGAGAAGCGACCUCGCGAGAGCAAGCGGACCUCAUAAAGUAUGUCGUAGUCCGGAUUGGAGUCUGCAACUCGACUCCAUGAAGUCGGAAUCGCUAGUAAUCGUAGAUCAGAAUGCUACGGUGAAUACGUUCCCGGGCCUUGUACACACCGCCCGUCACACCAUGGGAGUGGGUUGCAAAAGAAGUAGGUAGCUUAACCUUCGGGAGGGCGCUUACCACUUUGUGAUUCAUGACUGGGGUGAAGUCGUAACAAGGUAACCGUAGGGGAACCUGCGGUUG
RNAcentral lists this ribosomal RNA (1520 nucleotides) under Enterobacter cloacae. RNAcentral's name for it is "bacterial SSU rRNA". It matches the Rfam family "Bacterial small subunit ribosomal RNA". RNAcentral also lists the same sequence under 4 other names. Lineage: Bacteria; Pseudomonadati; Pseudomonadota; Gammaproteobacteria; Enterobacterales; Enterobacteriaceae. The record is from RNAcentral.